GCCCAUCUAGCUCAAUUGGUAGAACAUGAGACUCUUAACCUCAGGGUCGUGGGUUCAAGCCCCAUGUAGGGCA
This 73-nucleotide transfer RNA is filed under the name Loxodonta africana (African savanna elephant). It matches the Rfam family "tRNA". From Rfam's summary of the family: Transfer RNA (tRNA) molecules are approximately 80 nucleotides in length. The record is from Rfam by way of RNAcentral. Lineage: Eukaryota; Metazoa; Chordata; Mammalia; Proboscidea; Elephantidae.